This 253-nucleotide ribosomal RNA is filed under the name uncultured bacterium. RNAcentral describes it as "partial 16S ribosomal RNA". It matches the Rfam family "Bacterial small subunit ribosomal RNA", at positions 524 to 776 of the family's 1533-position model. The record is from RNAcentral.
CACGUAGGGCGCAAGCGUUGUCCGGAAUUAUUGGGCGUAAAGAGCUCGUAGGCGGUCUGUUACGUCUGCUGUGAAAACCCGGGGCUUAACCCUGGGCUUGCAGUGGAUACGGGCAGACUAGAGGCAGGUAGGGGAGAAUGGAAUUCCCGGUGUAGCGGUGAAAUGCGCAGAUAUCGGGAGGAACACCGGUGGCGAAGGCGGUUCUCUGGGCCAAUACUGACGCUCAUGCACGAAAGCGUGGGGAGCAAACAGG